AGUUCGGAUUGUAGUCUGCAACUCGACUACAUGAAGCCGGAAUCGCUAGUAAUCGCGGAUCAGCAUGCCGCGGUGAAUACGUUCCCGGGUCUUGUACACACCGCCCGUCACACCAUGGGAGUCGGAAAUGCCCGAAGUCGGUGACCUAACCGGAAGGGAGGAGCCGCCGAAGGCAGGUCUGAUGACUGGGGUGAAGUCGUAACAAGGUAUC
This 211-nucleotide ribosomal RNA is filed under the name uncultured bacterium. RNAcentral's name for it is "partial 16S ribosomal RNA". It matches the Rfam family "Bacterial small subunit ribosomal RNA", at positions 1290 to 1500 of the family's 1533-position model. The record is from RNAcentral.